ACCCGUUUGUCCAGCUGCCUGGGAGAGGCAGGGUACCACAGAGGAGCUGGCAUCCCGAGAAAGGAUGCCACCACCAGCUGGUCCCUUCCAGAGCUCUGUCUGAACUCCACCAGCCUUGCUUCUGGCCUCAUCCUGCAGACCCAGGGGACACCUCCACUUGCAAGUUCAGUCCAUGGGCACUGCACACUCUCUCGGCCCCAAGUUGAACCCCUUUUCCUCACCCAACAUCCUCCAUUUCAACAAAUGGCAGCGUUGUGGGUAAAAUAACACCUCCUUCAG
Molecule: long non-coding RNA, 279 nt
Filed under: Homo sapiens (human)
Lineage: Eukaryota; Metazoa; Chordata; Mammalia; Primates; Hominidae
Description: non-protein coding lnc-CTSD-2:2
Source: RNAcentral